AAGUCGUAACAAGGUUUCCGUAGGUGAACCUGCGGAAGGAUCAUUAACACGUAUCCACGUAUCAACCCCUCUGUGCAAAUGAAAAUGAUUAGGCGUGGUCUGAGUAUGUCUUGUUCGUCCUAAUGAUGGCGGGAAGCUUGCUUCCCGGGGACACAUGAAUGAGGCAUGCGUUCGAAGAUUCGCCGCUUUUUUCCCAUCAUUAACCCUUUUACUAUUUUUAACCCCUUGUACUUCUUUGUACUGAACCAAUUCUUUCGAUGCUCGCAAGAGCGACGAAAAGAUAUUACGAAACUAAAAGAACAACUCUUAGCAACGGAUAUCUUGGUUCCC
RNAcentral lists this unclassified non-coding RNA (330 nucleotides) under air metagenome. Its description in RNAcentral is "partial contains small subunit ribosomal RNA, internal transcribed spacer 1, and 5.8S ribosomal RNA". The stretch from base 1 to 46 matches the Rfam family "Eukaryotic small subunit ribosomal RNA", at positions 1786 to 1831 of the family's 1831-position model. The record is from RNAcentral.